CUACGGGUUGCUGCAGUGAGGAAUUUUGCGCAAUGGGGGAAACCCUGACGCAGCAACGCCGCGUGAGUGAUGAAGGCUUUCGGGUCGUAAAGCUCUGUCAAGUGGGAAGAAUCUGUUUUAUGCUAAUAUCAUAAAGCACUGACGGUACCACUGAAGGAAUCACCGGCUAACUCCGUGCCAGCAGCCGCGGUGAAUACGGAGGGUGCAAGCGUUACUCGGAAUCACUGGGCGUAAAGGGCGCGCAGGCGGUCCGAUUAGUCAGAUGUGAAAGCCCGGGGCUUAACCCCGGAAGUGCAUUUGAAACUGUCGGACUUGAGUAUGGGAGAGGGAAGUGGAAUUCCUGGUGUAGAGGUGAAAUUCGUAGAUAUCAGGAGGAACACCGGUGGCGAAGGCGACUUCCUGGACCAAUACUGACGCUGAGGCGCGAAGGCGUGGGUAGCAAACAGGAUUAGAUACCCCAGUAGUC
This 466-nucleotide ribosomal RNA is filed under the name uncultured bacterium. RNAcentral's name for it is "partial 16S ribosomal RNA". It matches the Rfam family "Bacterial small subunit ribosomal RNA", at positions 339 to 795 of the family's 1533-position model. The record is from RNAcentral.